Molecule: non-coding RNA, 654 nt
Organism: Struthio camelus australis
Lineage: Eukaryota; Metazoa; Chordata; Aves; Struthioniformes; Struthionidae
Source: RefSeq, a predicted model, not a curated record
CAGGCUUAGGAUGUUGCAUCAAAGGCUUGUGAUUUUCCUUUCAGGAUACUCUUCUGCGUAGCAAACAGUCAUGCUCAUUUUUCGUCAUUGUUACCUUCCCCACUCCACUGCCCCUGCGUUGUCAACAGGUCCAGGGCUCUGGACUGCAGCACAUGCAGGCAUACCUGAGCUCCCUUUGAAUCCUGGCUGUCUCAGAUGUUGAAGCAAUGAUACCAGAAGGGAAGGGGGCAUAUGGGAGCUCCAUUCAUCUUGAAGAAGCUGGACAGUAUAUGAACACAAGAGUUGCAAAAGGAUUCAGUAUAUGAAAACACGGACUCUGGCUGCUUUUCCCUCUUUUGUUAAUUAAUUGUGGUGCCAAAAGCAGGUGUCCCAUACUGAAUGGAUCUAAAAAUGUUCAUUUAAGCGUAUCUGACUUGAGAAUGGGGAAGAUGCCUGUUUUCCAUGCAGAUGACUUCUGGUCAUAUAAUACUCCCUAGUAUCAGCAAGCAGUGAUUUAUGAUGGUACAUUUCAUGUCCUGUUAAGAAAAAGGCCAUCUCCAUUUUGCAUGAAGUGUUAAGUGCAAGCAAGUUAUUUUGUUAUGCAGCUACCUCCAAACUGCUGCAGGCUGUUGCUGUCAUUUCUUUCUGAACCUGCCUGAGUUGGGGGGGGGGGGG